UUUUAGUUUUUAGUGCCACU
RNAcentral lists this unclassified non-coding RNA (20 nucleotides) under Dictyostelium discoideum. The record is from RNAcentral. Lineage: Eukaryota; Evosea; Eumycetozoa; Dictyosteliales; Dictyosteliaceae.